This 252-nucleotide ribosomal RNA is filed under the name uncultured bacterium. Its description in RNAcentral is "partial 16S ribosomal RNA". It matches the Rfam family "Bacterial small subunit ribosomal RNA", at positions 524 to 776 of the family's 1533-position model. The record is from RNAcentral.
UACGUAGGUCCCGAGCGUUGUCCGGAUUUAUUGGGCGUAAAGCGAGCGCAGGUGGUUUAUUAAGUCUGGUGUAAAAGGCAGUGGCUCAACCAUUGUAUGCAUUGGAAACUGGUAGACUUGAGUGCAGGAGAGGAGAGUGGAAUUCCAUGUGUAGCGGUGAAAUGCGUAGAUAUCUGGAGGAACACCGGUGGCGAAGGCGGCAUCCUGGACCGGUAUUGACGCUGAGGCGCGAAAGCCAGGGGAGCAAACGGG